CCCUUAGAUGUUCUGGGCCGCACGCGCGCCACACUGAUGCAUUCAACGAGCCUAUCCUUGACCGACAGGUCCGGGUAAUCUUUGAAUCUGCAUCGUGACGGGGAUAGAUUAUUGCAAUUAUUAAUCUUCAACGAGAAAUGCCUAGUAGGCGCAAGUCAUCAGCUUGCGUCGAUUACGUCCCUGCCCUUUGUACACACCGCCCGUCGCUCCUACCGAUUGAAUGUUCCGGUGAGCUCUUCGGACUGCGCGGUCUGCAGUUUCUGCGUUCCGUGCGGAAAGUUGCGCAAACCUUACAUUUAGAGGAAGGAGAAGUCGUAACA
RNAcentral lists this ribosomal RNA (320 nucleotides) under uncultured eukaryote. RNAcentral's name for it is "partial 18S ribosomal RNA". It matches the Rfam family "Eukaryotic small subunit ribosomal RNA", at positions 1470 to 1796 of the family's 1831-position model. The record is from RNAcentral.